AUUGCCCUAGUAACGGCGAGUGAAGCGGCAACAGCUCAAAUUUGAAAUCUGGCUUCGGCCCGAGUUGUAAUUUGUAGAGGAAACUUUUGGUGAGGCACCUUCUGAGUCCCUUGGAACAGGGCGCCAUAGAGGGUGAGAGCCCCGUAUAGUCGGAUGCCGAUCCAAUGUAAAGUUCCUUCGACGAGUCGAGUAGUUUGGGAAUGCUGCUCAAAAUGGGAGGUAAAUUUCUUCUAAAGCUAAAUAUAGGCCAGAGACCGAUAGCGCACAAGUAGAGUGAUCGAAAGAUGAAAAGCACUUUGAAAAGAGGGUUAAAUAGCACGUGAAAUUGUUGAAAGGGAAGCGUUUGUGACCAGACUUGCGCCGUUCCGAUCAUCCGGUGUUCUCACCGGUGCACUCGGGGCGGCUCAGGCCAGCAUCGGUUUUGGUGGGGGGAUAAAGGUCCAGGGAACGUAGCUCCUCCGGGAGUGUUAUAGCCCUGGGCGUAAUGCCCUCGCUGGGACCGAGGUUCGCGCAUCUGCAAGGAUGCUGGCGUAAUGGUCAUCAACGACCCGUCUUGAAACACGGACCAAGGAGUCAAGGUUUUGCGCGAGUGUUUGGGUGUAAAACCCGCACGCGUAAUGAAAGUGAACGUAGGUGAGAGCUUCGGCGCAUCAUCGACCGAUCCUGAUGUAUUCGGAUGGAUUUGAGUAAGAGCGUUAAGCCUUGGACCCGAAAGAUGGUGAACUAUGCUUGGAUAGGGUGAAGCCAGAGGAAACUCUGGUGGAGGCUCGCAGCGGUUCUGACGUGCAAAUCGAUCGUCAAAUCUGAGCAUGGGGGCGAAAGACUA
RNAcentral lists this ribosomal RNA (826 nucleotides) under Sordaria macrospora. RNAcentral's name for it is "eukaryotic LSU rRNA". It matches the Rfam family "Eukaryotic large subunit ribosomal RNA", at positions 74 to 933 of the family's 3401-position model. RNAcentral also lists the same sequence under 2 other names. The record is from RNAcentral. Lineage: Eukaryota; Fungi; Ascomycota; Sordariomycetes; Sordariales; Sordariaceae.